CUAACCUGGUUGAUCCUGCCAGUAGCAUACGCUUGUCUCAAAGAUUAAGCCAUGCAUGUCUAAGUAUAAACGACUUUAUACUGUGAAACUGCGAAUGGCUCAUUAUAUCAGUUAUAGUUUAUUUGAUGGUCCUUGCUACUUGGAUAACCGUAGUAAUUCUAGAGCUAAUACAUGCAUGAAUCCCCGAUUCGGAA
Molecule: ribosomal RNA, 194 nt
Filed under: uncultured eukaryote
Lineage: Eukaryota
Description: partial 18S ribosomal RNA
Rfam family: Eukaryotic small subunit ribosomal RNA
Source: RNAcentral